CCUACGGGAGGCAGCAGUGAGGAAUAUUGGUCAAUGGACGCAAGUCUGAACCAGCCAUGCCGCGUGAAGGAAGAAGGCUCUAUGGUUUGUAAACUUCUUUUGUAUGGGUGUAAAGUGCGGUACGUGUUUCUUUUUGAAUGUAUCAUACGAAUAAGCAUCGGCUAACUCCGUGCCAGCAGCCGCGGUAAUACGGAGGAUGCAAGCGUUAUCCGGAUUUAUUGGGUUUAAAGGGUGCGUAGGUGGUUGAUUAAGUCAGUGGUGAAAGUCUGAGGCUAAACCGCAAAAUUGCAUCUGAAACUGGCAGGCUAGAGUAUAGUAGAGGUGGGCGGAAUGGGUGGUGUAGCGGUGAAAUGCUUAGAGAUCACACAGAACUCCGAUUGCGAAGGCAGCUCACCAAACUACAACUGACACUGAGGCACGAAAGUGUGGGGAGCAAACAGGAUUAGAUACCCUAGUAGUC
Molecule: ribosomal RNA, 460 nt
Filed under: uncultured bacterium
Lineage: Bacteria
Description: partial 16S ribosomal RNA
Rfam family: Bacterial small subunit ribosomal RNA
Source: RNAcentral